RNAcentral lists this ribosomal RNA (273 nucleotides) under uncultured bacterium. Its description in RNAcentral is "partial 16S ribosomal RNA". It matches the Rfam family "Bacterial small subunit ribosomal RNA", at positions 524 to 796 of the family's 1533-position model. The record is from RNAcentral.
UACGGAGGGUGCAAGCGUUAUCCGGAUUCACUGGGUUUAAAGGGUGCGUAGGUGGGUUGGUAAGUCCGUGGUGAAAUCUCCGAGCUUAACUCGGAAACUGCCGUGGAUACUAUCAAUCUUGAAUAUCGUGGAGGUAAGCGGAAUAUGUCAUGUAGCGGUGAAAUGCUUAGAUAUGACAUAGAACACCGAUAGCGGAGGCAGCUUGCUACACGAUCAUUGACACUGAGGCACGAAAGCGUGGGGAGCAAACAGGAUUAGAAACCCUCGUAGUCC